GAUAACUGAAUCAUGGGGGUGGUUCCCCCAUAUUGUUCUCAUGGUAGUGAAUAAGUCUCACUAGAUUUGAUGGCUUUAUAAGAGGAAAUCCCUUUCACUUGUCUCUCAUUCUCUCUUCUCUGCUGCCGUGUAAGACAUGCCUUUUGUCUUCCAUCAUGAUUGUGAAGCCUCCCCAGCCAAGUGGAACUAAACACAAAUCUGAAAAGAAAUGAAGAACCAUCUUUGCCUUAGGAUGUGGCAAAUGGAGCUUUGGGACUGAUGCAUAUUCAAAAGAAGGAUCUCCUGCCCUAGCAACACAGCAAGACCCCAUUUCUACAAAAUAGAAAAAAAAGAGCCAGGUGUGGUGCAUCAAUUAGACAAACCACAGUGGCUCAGUGAUGAUCAUUAAACGUCUAAGAAAAAAAUCGAAACAUCAUGGUUAAUGGAAUGAAUUUCUCGUGCUCAAACUCUCAAGAGAAAGAGAAAGGGGAGGAAGGGGAAGGAUGAAUCAAUAAUGGAUACUUAUAGAGCAUUUGAUUCCACAGUGGAUAAGCAAACCCACAAUACCUUCAUAAUAUCCUG
This is a long non-coding RNA of Piliocolobus tephrosceles (Ugandan red Colobus), 561 nucleotides long. RefSeq lists it as uncharacterized. The transcript is spliced from 3 exons. Lineage: Eukaryota; Metazoa; Chordata; Mammalia; Primates; Cercopithecidae. The record is from RefSeq and is a predicted model, not a curated record.